GACGAACCGUCCAAACGUUAUUCGGAUUCACUGGGCUUAAAGGGUGCGUAGGCGGCCCGGAAAGUUGGGUGUGAAAGCCCUCGGCUUAACCGAGGAAUUGCGCCCAAAACUACCGGGCUUGAGGGAGAUAGAGGUGGGCGGAACUUAGGGUGGAGCGGUGAAAUGCGUUGAUAUCCUAAGGAACACCUGUGGCGAAAGCGGCUCACUGGGUCUCUUCUGACGCUGAGGCACGAAAGCUAGGGGAGCGAACGGG
RNAcentral lists this ribosomal RNA (253 nucleotides) under uncultured bacterium. RNAcentral's name for it is "partial 16S ribosomal RNA". It matches the Rfam family "Bacterial small subunit ribosomal RNA", at positions 524 to 776 of the family's 1533-position model. The record is from RNAcentral.